Molecule: long non-coding RNA, 3400 nt
Filed under: Gossypium barbadense (sea-island cotton)
Lineage: Eukaryota; Viridiplantae; Streptophyta; Magnoliopsida; Malvales; Malvaceae
Description: long non-coding RNA (GBAR_LNC008440)
Source: RNAcentral
GGUUUUUUUUUUUUUUUUGACAAGACCUUGUAGCAAAUAUCACUAAGAAAUAUCAUUUGUUGACAAAAGCUUACACUGACCCGUCGAUAUAUACAGUGUAUACCGACGUAAAUUUUCCGUCACUAAAUUUUAAUAAUAUAGUUACCAAUGCAUUAAAAAGCCAUUGUUAUAGAUUAUACUAUACUUAUUUUGACGGAUAUUAAAGCACAUUAUACCAUAGUAUUAUCCAGUUAAUGCAUGGAGAAAAAAACAUGGUUAAUGGCGGGAGUUUUUUUUCUUUAAUAAAUAAUUUAGUUACUAUAUAUGUACUAGAUCUAUUCAUGGGUCAAGUUACUUAUCCAAAGUACAAAAGUUUACUCGAAAUUUAAGAUAGUUUGAACAAAAAUAGUAGGCCUGGAAAUGGGCUUGGUAGAAAAAGAUCCGUUUAAAAUAUGAAUAAAGCUUAAGCUUGAAUAUUUUUGGCCUAGCCCGACCUUUUUUUUUUAAGUUUAUAAUAUUUUAUGAUAUGUAAUUUAUAACACAUAAAAAUUAAAUUUUUAGUAGUAUAAUGUAAACAACAAAAAAUGUUAAAUGACUAUAUAUAAAUUUAAUAAAUAAAAAUAUAUAUAAUUAUUAAAUCUUAGAUUAAAAAUAAUGUAAAUAUUUUUUUAAAAAAUAGGAUAAACUACACUAGUAGACAACCAACUAAUCAAAUUUAUCAAAUAGUGAUAGUUUUUAAAAUUGGCAUAAUAACAAUUUUAACCCUUAAUAUUAUAUAUUGCGUUAGUUUAAUUUUGAUUUAAAAAAAUCUAACCCUCCAUAGUAAUUGAACUAUUAAAAUUUUCUAUUAAAAUUACUCACAAAUUUUAAAAGUUUUCAUUUUAUUUAUUUAAAAACAAAAAAAAAAUAUUUUUAAAAAUUUGAAAAACUUGAUAGUAAUGAAACCUCACUUACACCGAACCUUUUUCAAUUUGAUUUUGAUUAUCUAAAUUUUUUUUCAUAGUUAUGUUAUAAAUGAGGUAAUUCAUAUUCCUACUUAAUACCCACAUUUACUUUUUUUUUUCUUUUUAAGCUUUAACAGCUUUGUUAAUAUAUGUUCAACUCCCCACAUAUUCCUAGCUACGGUGGAAAUUAAUUUGAAUAAUCAAAGGCUAACAUUGUGAUUUAAAAAUUAACAUGUGAAAGUGAAGGCCCUUUAAACCAGACAUAGCUGGUUUGUCAGCUAAAUCUGAUUUCUAAUUUGCUUACCCUUUAAUGUAUAGGAUUCCUCAAAGCUCAACUGUAUCAUAAUAUUUGUAUAUCGGAUUUCAGGCUAUAGCCUAUAGGAUAGGUAUCCAACGUGGAAUUCAGCAACUUCUACAAUAUACAUUCCGUUUGUAUUACUGUAAAGCAAAAUCAAUUUUAUAUACACAUGUUAUUUAAUACGAAUAUCAUUCGAUGCCCUUUCAUAUUUUUGAGUCAACUGUAAAGGUUGAGUGAUUAUUUGAUGUAAAACUUCAAAUAUAUUGAAAAAAACAAUAUUUUACUUUUAGACGAGGAAAAUCUCAUAUUGAUUUGAAAUUUUAUAGGUAAUGUCAACUAAAAAGAUUAACAAGAGAAAGAAGUGGUGGUUUAGAUGGUGAUUCAUUUAUGUGGAGAUUUAUUGGUCAUAACUUUAGUAUUACGAUAAAAAGGUCUAAGCAAAAUAAAAUAUGAGAUGAAAAGAGGUAUCAUCGGAGCUUGGUUGAAGGGAGAGAAAACAAAAGAGAAUUCUUUUUUGCCUGUUGGUGUAUGUAAAGGGAUGGAACCCAUAACAAGAGCGAAAUACUGGCGUUGUUUUUGGUGAGUGAUCGUAUGUUAAUAUACAGUCGAGACGCUCCCUUCCGUGAACCCUAUACGGUUCUCAAUGAAGUGAAAGACAAAACCCUCUUUCAAAGGACAAUACUUUCUGUUAUUGAGAGAUCGAAUUGAAGUCUCCAAAUACAACACUUUGAAAAUUUUUCCUGGAGGAGCUGAUCCCCACAACAUGUACUUAAAACAACUACCAUUUAUAUUGCUAAAUUCAAUUAUCUAUCCAUCUAUUAUAAACAUUAAUCUUACUUAAAAAUUAUAAAUAUAUGUAAAAUUAAUAUGAUUUUAUACCUAAAGUAAUUUUAUAGUAGUGUAAUAUAUGGAAACCAUAUCUGGAACAACGCAUGCACAUGACAUUAAUCAUUGUAAGACCCGAAUUUUGCCCGGCCCAUAGGAAAACCAAAAUCAAACACAAAAAUUAAACAGUCCAUCAAAUAGGUUCGGUUUACAAGCCCAAAAUUUUACAAUGGCCCGAUAGGCCCAAAUUUUUAGGGUUUCAGAAACCCUAAGUUCCCCUUUUGCACAGCAGCCCCACGCCGCAAUCCCCACUUCGGCACUCCACGCACGAUCCCCGUGCGCCUCGCUCCAUGUUUGCGCCCAUAAUCCAUGCCCCUCGUUCUCCACAACUUCACGGCCUGCAAGUUGGACAAGGAAGCAGUAGAAACUGCUUGUAUUUUGGCUAUAAAGCCUUUGAUUUUUCAUUUUAAAGGGGUUUUUCUUUUUUUUUGAAAUACAAAAGAUACCAAAAAAGAGAGUAAAAAGCAGCCAAGAAAAUAUUUCUAAGGUGGUUAUUUUAUCAUUUUCUUUUCCCGUUCUUUUGCUUGAUUUUUAUUUCCAUUCAAAUCCGAAAAUAUGAAAUAAAAGGGGAAAGGGUGAGUACCUCUCGAUUCGCUUCGCAAGAGGGGUUCUCCGGCCCUCUGUUGGUCGUCACAGAGGCAAAUGAAGGCUUGGUGUUGGCCUUGUUUGCGGCUGGAAGAAAGAGGACAGUGGGGAGAAGAAAGAGUUUAGGGUUUUUUAGAAAAAAAGAAAUCAAAGUUAAAGUUUUUUUAGCAAAAAAAAAAAAAAGACUUUAAAACUAGCUUUUGUUUUUAAUAAUAAAAUAAAUGGUUGUUAAAAGCAGUAGCAUUUUGGAAAGGCCCGCGUGUUGACCCAAUUCACAGGCUGGGUCCACGUACUUUCAUUUUAAAGGGGAAAUUUUCGCUUCCAGUCCUUCUCAUUCGCGCCAGUUUUGAAUUAACUCCUAUUUGCACCUUAUUUAUUUUAUUAAAAUUUCCCUAUAAUUUACGCGUUGAUUGUGAUCUGGUCCACGCCCAGGUGCUGAGUUUUGGAGAUUUGGGUCAUUUUCGUUUUUGGUCCUUGAGAAUUUGUGCGCAUUGAAUUGUGGUCCCUAGUUUUAAUUUGACGUUUUAUUUAUUCAUUAAUUAUCUCUUUAAGUUUAGUUUAUUUCAAUUGAGUUUUUUUUUUACAUGUAUAAUUCAUUAUUUCUUAAAUUUAUUUGGUACUCAAUUUUUAUAAAUUUAUUUUAAUAUACUUUUUAGGUUACCUAAAUAAUUUUCUACUCUACUUUUAUUUGUUUAACUAUUGUAAAAUU